Molecule: long non-coding RNA, 1666 nt
Filed under: Linum usitatissimum (flax)
Lineage: Eukaryota; Viridiplantae; Streptophyta; Magnoliopsida; Malpighiales; Linaceae
Description: long non-coding RNA (LUSI_LNC004163)
Source: RNAcentral
UGUACCAUAUUUGUGCUACAGUUCCUGGAACUCUGCCGCUAAUGGAAUCUUAUUGCGAAGCGAAUUGUGCUGUGGAUUAGUACUUGGUUAAUUUUGCUCAUUCUUUUGUAUAUGGUUACAUUUUUUUGACUCCUUUAAUUGAGGUUUGUCCUAUUGACUUCAUUAGGACCUUGUUGGUGCACCGCUAUAUAGAGUUGUGCGGGUUUUAAAUAACAUGCAUUUAAGAGCAUUUCGACACAAUAUUCUACUAAAAAAUAAUCCAUAAGAGAAUUUUAUAUAAUAAUUUUAACUUUUUUAUGUCGAGAAAUGAUACUACCCCAAAUUAUCUAUUUGAAUAAUUUAUUUUAAAAAUAGUAAAUUUAACUAACACCCUGAUUGAUAUAUAUAUAUAUAUAUUCAAAACUUUAUAAAAAUUUAUUUUAAAAUGAAUUAUUUUGUAUUUGGUGUAUGAAGGCUAAAUUUGGCUAAUUUUGUAUUUAAAUCUAAUUAAUCCGUACCAAAUCACCAAUCCAUACACGUACACAUGCAAUAUGAAUUUGAGUACCAGGCCAGCAAGACUUCAACAGAAACCAUUCUUUAUUACCAAGAGAUGACAACUUCAGUCCCAACCUCCCACCUCAGGUAAUUCCUCCAACUUAUUAGUUUCUUAUUAUUUCGAGGUUCUUUGGUACGGUGAUAUCUAAUAUCUUGCAUGUUGCACGAUAAGGUCGCCAUCAUCACUGGCGGUGCUAGCGGGAUAGGAGCCGCGACAACCAAACUAUUCCACCCACAAGGCGCCAAGGUCAUGAUCGCCACAUCCAGGACAGCCUAGGCCAAGCCAUUGUCGAAAAUCUAACCGGCACUAGGAAGGAUGAUGUCUUCACGAUCAUCUACAUCCAUUGUGAUGUGUCGAACGAAGAUGACGUGGCAAGCCUGGUGGAUGCCACCAUGGCAAAAUUCGGGAAGCUGGAUAUAAUGUAUUAUAAUGCUGGCAUAGUUGACGGCGUGCCGGGCGCGAGCAUUGUGGAGGCCUCCAAAUUUGACGCCGGUCCAGGUCAAUAUGGUGGGGGCAUUUAUGGGAGCCAAGCACGCUGCCAGGGUCAUGAUCCCAGGCGGACCGGCGUCAUUUUGUUCACCGCCAGUGCUUGUACAGCUAUAGGCGGGCUGGGGAGCCACGCCUAUGUAGCGACCAAAUACGGAAUUCUCGGGUUGACCCGGAACCUGACCGGUGAGCUGGGUGGGCACGGGAUUUGGGUCAAUUGUAUCUCACCGUCUGGGCUGGUGACCGGGGUUGCAACCACCUUGCUGAGCGGAGAACAGUUGGGCCAAGCGGAGGCGUUUCUGAAUGCGAGAGGGAACUUGAAGGGGAAGACUCUCAAAGUCGAAGAUGUCGUGAGGGGUGCGUUGUUUUUGGCGAGCGACGAUGCGCAGUACGUGAGCGGGGUUAACCUAGUGGCUGAUGGCGGGUUUAGUAAGACCAAUCCGACUCUUCUGAACGCAAUGAGUGCUGUCGAUGGUUCGAUGAUGAAUAUUUCGAUCUAACAUGUUUGGUUUCAUCGUAAUGUUCUUGAACACUAGCUAGUAUCAUGGUCUCCCUGUUCUUCGUCGUGUAUUAAGUUAUGUAGACCAACCGGGCCUCCUUUCACAUUCAAAUAGGAACGAAUCUGAGUUUUCUCUGAGCUCCAAC